Molecule: transfer RNA, 72 nt
Filed under: Salmonella phage Spc35
Lineage: Duplodnaviria; Heunggongvirae; Uroviricota; Caudoviricetes; Demerecviridae
Description: tRNA-Gln
Rfam family: tRNA
About the family: Transfer RNA (tRNA) molecules are approximately 80 nucleotides in length. Their secondary structure includes four short double-helical elements and three loops (D, anti-codon, and T loops).
Source: RNAcentral
UGGAGAGUAGUGUAACGGUUAGCACUGGAGAUUUUGAAUCUCUUAGUUAGGGUUCGAAUCCCUACUUUCCUG